RNAcentral lists this ribosomal RNA (1465 nucleotides) under uncultured bacterium. RNAcentral's name for it is "bacterial SSU rRNA". It matches the Rfam family "Bacterial small subunit ribosomal RNA". The record is from RNAcentral.
GAUAAACGCUGGCGGCGUGCCUUACCAAUGCGAGUCGAACGAGGUCAGGUUUCGGCCUGGUCGAGUGGCGCCCGGGUGCGUGACACGUCGGUGACCUACCCCGCUGUGGGGAAUACCCUGCCGAAAGGUGGGCUAAUACCGCAUGCGAUCCCCGGUCGAACGGGGAUGAAAGCCCGCAAGGGCGCUGUGGGAGGGGCCGGCGGCCUAUCAGCUUGUUGGUGGGGUAAUGGCCUACCAAGGCGACGACGGGGAGCCGAUCUGAGAGGAUGACCGGCCACAGUGGGACUGAGAUAUGGUCCACAGCCCUACGGGGUUUAGCAUGGAGGAAUCUUGCGCAACAUCCGAAAGGAUGGCGCAGCAACGCCGCGUGAGGGACGAAGCCGUUUGCGGUGUAAACCUCUGUUGCUCGGGAAGAAGUACCGCGGGGGAGAGCCUCACGGGAAGACGGUACCGGGCGAGGAAGCCCCGGCUAACUACGUGCCAGCAGCCGCGGUAAUACGUAGGGGGCGAGCGUUAUCCGGAUUUAUUGGGCGUAAAGCGCACGCAGGCGGGAUGCAACCGUGGUGUGUGGAAUCUCCCGGCUCACCCGGGAGGGGUCAUGCCAUACGGGCAUUCUUGAGGCAAACAGUGGGUCGCGGAACGGGCAGAGUAGGGGUGAAAUCCGCAGAUACUGUCCGGAACACCAGAGGCGAAGGCGGCGACCUAGGUUUGAGAAGCGGUCGCGAGACCGUCCUGACGCUCAGGUGCGAAAGCGUGGGUAGCGAACGGAAUUAGAUACUCCGGUAGUCCACGCCCUAAACGAUGGCCACUCGGUGUCGGGGGUAUCGACCCCCUCGGUGCCUUAGCCAACGCGGUAAGUGGCCCGCCUGGGGACUACGGCCGCAAGGCUAAAACUCAAAGGAAUUGACGGGGCCCCGCACAAGCAGCGGAGCGUGUGGAUUAAUUCGAUGCAACGCGAAGAACCUUACCCAGGCUUGACAUGGCGCUGGUAGGGAGGGGAAACCUGACCGACCCGCAAGGGAGGCGUCACAGGUGCUGCAUGGCUGUCGUCAGCUCGUGCCGUGAGGUGUUGGGUUAAGUCCCGCAACGAGCGCAACCCCCGUCUCCAGUUGCGUUUUCUGGAGAGACUGCCGGGAGAACCCCGGAGGAAGGUGGGGACGAAGUCAAGUCCGCAUGGCCCUUACGUCUGGGGCGUCACACACGCUACAAUGGCCGGGACAAUGUGUUGCGAUCCCGCAAGGGCAAGCUAAUCCCCCAAACCCGGCCUCAGUACAGAUUGUCGGCUGCAACUCGCCGGCAUGAAGGCGGAGUUGCUAGUAACCGCGCGUCAGCAUAGUGCGGUGAAUGCGUUCCCGGGGCUUGUACACACCGCCCGUCACACCACGAAAGUCGGCAAGACGCGAAGGCGCUGGGCCAACCCCUUCGGGGGAGGUAGGUGACGAGCGUCGGGUUGGUGAUUGGGGUG